Molecule: ribosomal RNA, 451 nt
Filed under: Veillonella dispar
Lineage: Bacteria; Bacillati; Bacillota; Negativicutes; Veillonellales; Veillonellaceae
Description: bacterial SSU rRNA
Rfam family: Bacterial small subunit ribosomal RNA
Source: RNAcentral
GACGAACGCGGCGGCGUGCUUAACACAUGCAAGUCGAACGAAGAGCGAUGGAAGCUUGCUUCUAUCAAUCUUAGUGGCGAACGGGUGAGUAACGCGUAAUCAACCUGCCCUUCAGAGGGGGACAACAGUUGGAAACGACUGCUAAUACCGCAUACAAUCUAACCUUGGCAUCGAGGAUGGAUGAAAGGUGGCCUCUAUUUAUAAGCUAUCACUGAAGGAGGGGAUUGCGUCUGAUUAGCUAGUUGGAGGGGUAACGGCCCACCAAGGCGAUGAUCAGUAGCCGGUCUGAGAGGAUGAACGGCCACAUUGGGACUGAGACACGGCCCAGACUCCUACGGGAGGCAGCAGUGGGGAAUCUUCCGCAAUGGACGAAAGUCUGACGGAGCAACGCCGCGUGAGUGAUGACGGCCUUCGGGUUAUAAAGCUCUGUUAAUCGGGACGAAAGGCCUUC